CCACCGAUAGCUCAGUUGGUAGAGCGGAAGACUGUAGAUCUUUAGGUCACUGGUUCAAAUCCGGUUCGGUGGA
Molecule: transfer RNA, 73 nt
Filed under: Lytechinus variegatus (green sea urchin)
Lineage: Eukaryota; Metazoa; Echinodermata; Echinoidea; Temnopleuroida; Toxopneustidae
Description: tRNA-Tyr
Rfam family: tRNA
About the family: Transfer RNA (tRNA) molecules are approximately 80 nucleotides in length.
Source: RNAcentral